Long non-coding RNA from Bos taurus (domestic cattle), 1036 nucleotides. The record is from Ensembl. NCBI's taxonomy places the organism in Eukaryota, Metazoa, Chordata, Mammalia, Artiodactyla, Bovidae.
GCCUUAUACAGGAAUUAAGUGUUAAAAACACAUGCUUCAUCAUUGCCUACCCUGAGUCUUUAGUUCUUUGGGACCCACUGAUCAAGUUCAACCUCCAUGUUUGAUAGAGGAGGAAACGGAGCUCCUGAGAAGGGAGGCACCCAUUCUGGGUGACAAAGCAAGUCACUGGCCAAAGUGAGUCUGCAGCUUGAAGCUUAGCUCCGGGACCCCUCGCUGCUUCCGGCUUCCUUGUUUUUCAGGAACCAUGGAGCUGAAGGCUGCGCUAGUGCAGGAAGGGUCCUGGCUCUCUGGGGUGGUGGGUGGGGCUCAAGGAAGCUGAAGAGGCUCACCUGGUGGGGCUCAGUUGAUGGUUGAAGUGUGGAGUGGGUGUUGCUGAUACCCUCACCACGGGAGCUGUCCUUAACCCUAGGCUCUUCAAUUCCCCUGCUGAAGAGCUGUCUGCUUCCAUCGAAAUCAGAGGAACAAGAGUUACCUACUUCAUAGGGCAGCUGCUGGCUUCAGAGAGGGAAGUGCUUAAAGUAGCUGGUGUGGCUCUGGGCAUGAGGUCACCUGCCACUGUUCCUGUGUCUUCUUAUCUCCUGCCUGUAGUCAUUAGCCCUGCUGUCUCCCUCGGCGUGUCCAGGACAGAAGCGGUUUAAUGCCACGAUGUGCAGGGCCUGUGUGCAGGCUCCAAGGGACAUCUUAGUAAUUAGUUUUAUAAUUGCUAGACCUCUGUUGGCUCCAGUAAACAACUGCUUGCCAUUUUAAAGCAUGGCUGAGUUAUAGAGAUGACUAGAUGUCGACAAGUGCGAGAAUUAUGUGGCACCAGUGAUAUAUAACACCUCUGGUUUCCCUCUGCAUAAUCGGCCAGCUCUUCCUGCUCCAUCCUAACAAACUGGGAGAAGGUCUGCUCAUGGGGCCAGAGAACAAGUCUCCCUUGAUCACAGCCACUGGGAGAACACAUUGGUUAUGCUGACAAGGAAGUUACUCAGUCCUUAAAUCAGAACGCCAUCUUCAUCCCCCGGGACAGGAAAGCAGAACUGCCAUCCUUCCACUG